GUCUUCAAUUAGCUGCUGGGGAUAUUCAUAUGGCAACACAUGCACUACCUGACCCCAAGACCUACUUCAGGCAGCGGAUGUUUCUGUGGGCACCGAUGCGGAUGUGGGGUAUUCUGAUAAAAUGCCCUCAGUGUAGUACCAAGAUGCACCAUUCGGGGAUCUACACAAAACUACAGGAGAGAGCUGCAAAAACCUUGGGAAACAACCUCUGUGUGCUGGAUGUUGGUGUCUGUUGCUUUGACGGGGGUGAACUGUGGUGGAAAUCCCCUCUUUCCCCCCAUGUAAAGAUGACUCCAUCUUCAGCUCCUGCAUUUUUCAUGUUUCCUUUCCUUUCCUAAAAGUGAACUAUAACUUUUACAUUACAUUUGGCAACGCCACUGCUUUUGAAUUUGGCAUUUCAGACCCAUUUAGGCCUGAACAUAUCACAGACUGUCAAGGCUUAUGUUGAGUUUAUUUAUUUAUGUUCAUAAAAAAGCAUACAUCUGUAGCCACAACAAUGUUAUUACCUGUGCUCUUCUUUAUCCCUGCAAUCUUUUCCUUUAUCCCUAUGUCUUUACACCUCAUGGACUCUGCAGCUCAGUAAAUCUUAACAGCAAUGCCACUGCUGAGAAAGGUUGUUACCAUUUGUAUAAGCUCUGCCUGCUGGUUUUAUUUGACUGGAUAUGUUUACUUUUACGUAUAUUCCAUAG
This is a long non-coding RNA of Paralichthys olivaceus (Japanese flounder), 689 nucleotides long. RefSeq lists it as uncharacterized. NCBI's taxonomy places the organism in Eukaryota, Metazoa, Chordata, Actinopteri, Pleuronectiformes, Paralichthyidae. The record is from RefSeq and is a predicted model, not a curated record.